UUUCAGGCCUUAAAGGUGUCAUCAACAGUCUUUCACUCCCACACUGAUUAACAAACCCCAACCCCACCUCAAACACACCCAAAUCCCAUAUAUAGAAUCACAAAGCCCCAAAUCCUCAGAUCUGUUUGACAACGAAUGCGAGAAAGUUCUCCAAAAAAGUUAGCAAGGAAUUUUUCUUUUAAA
Molecule: long non-coding RNA, 183 nt
Organism: Octopus sinensis (East Asian common octopus)
Lineage: Eukaryota; Metazoa; Mollusca; Cephalopoda; Octopoda; Octopodidae
Exons: 3
Source: RefSeq, a predicted model, not a curated record